RNAcentral lists this long non-coding RNA (264 nucleotides) under Brassica napus (rape). RNAcentral describes it as "long non-coding RNA (BNAP_LNC026771)". The record is from RNAcentral. Lineage: Eukaryota; Viridiplantae; Streptophyta; Magnoliopsida; Brassicales; Brassicaceae.
GGAGGUUACAUUUACGUUAAAAAGUUUUAGUGGCCCAAAUAAAUCUGUUACCAUCAAUUUUUUACCUAAUCAUUUUUUGGAUGAAGGCUAACAUCUAUCAUUAUAAGUGAACAUGCUUCAUGUAUUUUAAUUAAACCGUAGAUUUUACGGGCAAAUGUUUCCUUCAUGCGGUUUAUGACACAUGGCAUAUUCUUACAUAUAUCUCUUAUAUACUAAAACACAAGUCACCUUACUUAUCAAUUUAUGACACAUGACAUAUUUUUA